This is a transfer RNA of Puccinia sorghi, 117 nucleotides long. It matches the Rfam family "tRNA". From Rfam's summary of the family: Transfer RNA (tRNA) molecules are approximately 80 nucleotides in length. Their secondary structure includes four short double-helical elements and three loops (D, anti-codon, and T loops). Lineage: Eukaryota; Fungi; Basidiomycota; Pucciniomycetes; Pucciniales; Pucciniaceae. The record is from Rfam.
GCCUUAAUAGCUCAGUGGUAGAGCGUUCCACUCGUAUCGUCGCUCCCGUGAGCCUUACACUCGCGACGUGGCAUGUGUCUUAUGGAAAGGUCUGGUGUUCAAUCCACCAUUGAGGCA